RNAcentral lists this ribosomal RNA (305 nucleotides) under uncultured bacterium. RNAcentral describes it as "bacterial SSU rRNA". It matches the Rfam family "Bacterial small subunit ribosomal RNA", at positions 338 to 641 of the family's 1533-position model. The record is from RNAcentral.
CCUACGGGGGGCAGCAGUGAGGAAUAUUGGUCAAUGGGCGGGAGCCUGAACCAGCCAUGCCGCGUGAAGGCGAGUGCCCUACGGGCGUUAAACUUCUUUUGUGCGGGAGCAAUAAGGGCCACGUGUGGCCCGAUGAGAGUACCGCACGAAUAAGCAUCGGCUAACUCCGUGCCAGCAGCCGCGGUAAUACGGGGGAUGCGAGCGUUAUCCGGAUUUAUUGGGUUUAAAGGGUGCGUAGGCGGCGCUUCAGGUCAGCGGUGAAAUACCGGGGCUCAACCCCGGGGCUGCCGUUGAAACCGGAGCGC